Molecule: ribosomal RNA, 440 nt
Filed under: uncultured bacterium
Lineage: Bacteria
Description: partial 16S ribosomal RNA
Rfam family: Bacterial small subunit ribosomal RNA
Source: RNAcentral
CCUACGGGUGGCUGCAGUGGGGAAUAUUGCACAAUGGGGGAAACGCUGAUGCAGCGACGCCGCGUGAGUGAAGAAGGAAUUCGGUAUGUAAAGCUCUGUCAGCAGGGAAGAAAAUGACGGUACCUGAGCAAGAAGCCCCGGCUAACUACGUGCCAGCAGCCGCGGUAAUACGUAGGGGGCAAGCGUUAUCCGGAUUUACUGGGUGUAAAGGGAGCGUAGACGGCAGGGCAAGUCUGGAGUGAAAGGCGGGGGCUCAACCCCCGGACUGCUCUGGAAACUGCCAGGCUGGAGUGCAGGAGAGGUAAGUGGAAUUCCUAGUGUAGCGGUGAAAUGCGUAGAUAUUAGGAGGAACACCAGUGGCGAAGGCGGCUUACUGGACUGUAACUGACGUUGAGGCUCGAAAGCGUGGGGAGCAAACAGGAUUAGAUACCCCUGUAGUC